UACGUAGGGUGCGAGCGUUGUCCGGAAUUAUUGGGCGUAAAGAGCUCGUAGGCGGUGUGUCGCGUCGGCCGUGAAAACCUGGGGCUCAACUCUGGGCGUGCGGUCGAUACGGGCAUCACUGGAGUUCGGCAGGGGAGACUGGAAUUCUUGGUGUAGCGGUGAAAUGCGCAGAUAUCAGGAGGAACACCGGUGGCGAAGGCGGGUCUCUGGGCCGAUACUGACGCUGAGGAGCGAAAGCAUGGGUAGCGAACAGG
Molecule: ribosomal RNA, 254 nt
Filed under: uncultured bacterium
Lineage: Bacteria
Description: partial 16S ribosomal RNA
Rfam family: Bacterial small subunit ribosomal RNA
Source: RNAcentral